CAGCCGCCGCGGUAAUACGGAGGGGGCUAGCGUUGUUCGGAAUUACUGGGCGUAAAGCGUGCGCAGGCGGUUAUAUAAGACAGAUGUGAAAUUCCUGGGCUCAACCUGGGGACUGCAUUUGAUACGUGUAAGCUUGAGUGGAGAAGAGGGUCGUGGAAUUUCCAGUGUAGAGGUGAAAUUCGUAGAUAUUGGAAAGAACACCGGUGGCGAAGGCGGCGACCUGGUCUUUUACUGACGCUGAGGCGCGAAAGCGUGGGGAGCAAACAGGAUUAGAUACCCCCGUAGUCCCUGUCUCUUAUAC
This 301-nucleotide ribosomal RNA is filed under the name uncultured bacterium. Its description in RNAcentral is "partial 16S ribosomal RNA". It matches the Rfam family "Bacterial small subunit ribosomal RNA", at positions 509 to 807 of the family's 1533-position model. The record is from RNAcentral.